Molecule: non-coding RNA, 101 nt
Filed under: Streptococcus sp.
Lineage: Bacteria; Bacillati; Bacillota; Bacilli; Lactobacillales; Streptococcaceae
Also listed under: 1 other name
Description: PreQ1-II sequence
Rfam family: PreQ1-II (pre queuosine) riboswitch aptamer
About the family: Q is a hyper modified nucleoside present in some anticodons in tRNAs (Try, Asn, Asp and His).
Source: RNAcentral
UCUGCUAUACUUAACAACGUUGCAUCUGCAACCCUUGACCCUUCCCUUCUUUGGUCAAGCAUAUUAGAAGCGAAACAAUCGCUAAAGGAGAUUUUUACAUG